GACAAUAUUGUAAUCAUACUUAAGACACUAAUUAUUCAUAAAAAAGUGUUUCAAGCCAACCCAAUCCGACCUGUUUUUGCUCGGUAUUCGGGCCUUCUACAUCUACAUGUUCGUUUUUCCAUUGUGGCUUUUUAUUGUAUUCAUGUAUGUUAGUUCAAAUCUGUAACAAUCCUCAGCCCUCGUGGAGCUAACUGAAGCUGAAACAUAAUAUGCAGUAAAUGAUAUGAAGCAGUUACGGGAUAUAUGCUUCUGAAGCGGAACCAAGUCAUCGAAUGCCCUUCCAUAUGAUACAUCUGGUCAAACCUUAUGGCACUUGAGAAACCAUAAGGGGCCCCACCUAAGCUGUUGGCAGAUUUUCUAACGCCUUGAAGUUUAUCGUCGAAGAGGUAAUAAUUCUCAUCUCAUGUUAUUACAGAGUACUAGAGUCG
Molecule: long non-coding RNA, 428 nt
Filed under: Helianthus annuus (common sunflower)
Lineage: Eukaryota; Viridiplantae; Streptophyta; Magnoliopsida; Asterales; Asteraceae
Description: sRNA HanXRQr2_Chr14g0652611
Source: RNAcentral